Molecule: ribosomal RNA, 497 nt
Filed under: uncultured bacterium
Lineage: Bacteria
Description: partial 16S ribosomal RNA
Rfam family: Bacterial small subunit ribosomal RNA
Source: RNAcentral
GAUGAACGCUGGCGGCGUGCCUAAUACAUGCCAGUCGAGCGAACAGACGAGGAGCUUGCUCCUCUGACGUUAGCGGCGGACGGGUGAGUAACACGUGGAUAACCUACCUAUAAGACUGGGAUAACUUCGGGAAACCGGAGCUAAUACCGGAUAAUAUAUUGAACCGCAUGGUUCAAUAGUGAAAGACGGUUUUGCUGUCACUUAUAGAUGGAUCCGCGCCGCAUUAGCUAGAUGGUAAGGUAACGGCUUACCAAGGCAACGAUGCGUAGCCGACCUGAGAGGGUGAUCGGCCACACUGGAACUGAGACACGGUCCAGACUCCUACGGGAGGCAGCAGUAGGGAAUCUUCCGCAAUGGGCGAAAGCCUGACGGAGCAACGCCGCGUGAGUGAUGAAGGUCUUCGGAUCGUAAAACUCUGUUAUUAGGGAAGAACAAAUGUGUAAGUAACUAUGCACGUCUUGACGGUACCUAAUCAGAAAGCCACGGCUAACUACGUG